UGAGGUCUAUGAUGAUGAGUUCUAUUUGCCUACAUUGGCUGAUUAAUCGCUAGUUAGAUUAUGAUGUGUACCAAUAAUCUGAGACCUCC
Arachis stenosperma is the source of this 89-nucleotide small nucleolar RNA. RefSeq annotates it as small nucleolar RNA SNORD34. The record is from RefSeq and is a predicted model, not a curated record. The transcript has a single exon. Lineage: Eukaryota; Viridiplantae; Streptophyta; Magnoliopsida; Fabales; Fabaceae.